Molecule: ribosomal RNA, 253 nt
Filed under: uncultured bacterium
Lineage: Bacteria
Description: partial 16S ribosomal RNA
Rfam family: Bacterial small subunit ribosomal RNA
Source: RNAcentral
UACAGGGGGGGCAAGCGUUGUUCGGAAUUACUGGGCGUAAAGGGCUCGUAGGCGGCCAACUAAGUCAGACGUGAAAUCCCUCGGCUUAACCGGGGAACUGCGUCUGAUACUGGAUGGCUAGAGUUUGGGAGAGGGAUGCGGAAUUCCAGGUGUAGCGGUGAAAUGCGUAGAUAUCUGGAGGAACACCGGUGGCGAAGGCGGCAUCCUGGCCCAACACUGACGCUGAGGAGCGAAAGCCAGGGGAGCAAACGGG